CCCCACACCGCAUUCUAAGGUGAUAAACUGGUUGGCUUUUUUCCAUUUUUUACAGACUUCUGGCUUUUGUUUCUGAAGAACUUGUGCGGCCUUCGGGGCCUCGUAGAGAAAAGCCCUUCCUCGGCCCCGGAGACCUGCCGCUGGCGUGUCGCCUACUUCUAGCCUCGUUUGUUCUCGCCGCGGAGUCUUGAUUUUUUUUAUUUGACGACAGCAUUAAUCCAUCGGGGCUGGAGGAUGGGGGGGCGUAAAUAGGCCUCAAAGCACCCCAAAAAACAUUACUACUCCCCGGGCUGGCCCAAACAUCGCGAGAUCUUCCUGCGCGAACAGCGGACGCCCCCUCACCCUCCGGGCGUUUGCUCAUGCGCUUGACUGAUCAUUUUUAGCGCGAAAACAUUUAGAAACGUUUUGGCUGGUAAUAGUCAACCAAAUUUGACCCUCGAGAAAGGUCGGAGGUUAAUUCACGUGGACGCGAUGGAUUGGAGCACACAACACUACAUUCUUCGAGAUUUUGCAGUCACAACUCCACAUGCUUAUACGGUCGUCACUCCUUUCCGUUGCUCUGUUUCGGCCGUGAACUCUGUGAGGAGGUUUCAGCGAAUCGAGUAGUAAAGGCGUGGGCGUGGGAGAGCCGUCCAGGCUUUAAACCAGAGUGGGUAUGUGGGACACCUGCGCAAGCACUGGAGUUUGCCCUGCAGCGCCUGAAAGGUACCACCCACAGUGUCCUCUCCCAGUGGGUCCCUUGGCCCCUCGAAGCAUACCUCAGGCGGAAUGUGGAUUGCAUGGAGUGAAGUGGUGGAAUUGAGCUACCAAGACACUGGCGCGCAACAAAAGUACCGACUUGUCGCCGCUAGCCUCCCAGGUCACUAGGAAGCAGGCUCUGAGCCAAGGGGAAGGCAGAGGACAGAUAUGGAUGUGUUCCCAAGCUUCCCUGGUGGUUUAUGGCAUUCUCCAAACUCCUCUGCAAGGGCUGUUCCUGACCAAGAAGACCCAAGGAGACCGUCUCUGAAAUAAAGUCCGGAUGAAGUUCUGCUAAUAUUUUGCAGACUCAGGGGGAAGGAACACCUGGGAACAGGAACUUGAAUGGGAGACUUUUUGCUGCCCAGCAUUUUCUGGGGCCUUCUACUAGAAACUUCAGGGGACGGAUUAACCACAGCGAUCUAUAGGAACUUUGUAUAAGCAUAUACAUAUUUUCCAUGCAAUUACUAAGCUCUUUGUGCCUUUCAUUUUUUCCCUUUAAGUCAGAUCUUUAAACAGCCACUUUGUCUCCCUAACAAGAUAAACCGUAUUAUCAGAACUGAGAGUUUAUACGACUAGCUAAUUUUGCUACAGGGCUCAUUUUAGAGUUCAGUGUAGGCAUGUAAGAGUCUAGUUUGUUGCUGCACCUCUCCCGACACACCUGCUGCUCUCACGAUUAUGAGAUUCAAAACACGAGUAGCAAUCCUCUCCUUCCGCUUUCUACCAGGAGUACAUACAUGUCAUUUCGAAUUUUACAGAUUCACUUUACAUUUCAGCUCUAGUCUCUAGAUGUUUUUCUAAAUCAGAAAAGAAAGUCAUUUUGUCUUAAGUGAUGCUGCCUGCCUCAGACAAGCAUCUCGUAUGGUACCAUGGCCAGUUCAGGAUGGCCUUGCACUGGCUGAUGCACACGUCAUUAGAGGUUGUGCAAGAAAUGUCACUUUUGCCUCAGUGUCUGGCACCUCUGACAUCACCGUGGACUCUCUGACCCUCUCCUCUGUGCCUCACCCUUUCCCUUUUUUUCACAUGGUUCUUGCCUUGUGCUCUGUUCUUCUUGAUGUUUUGUGUUUUCAGACAGCAAGUCCUGGGAGGCGGUUAUCCUUUCCCUAAACCUGGAGGAUUUUCUCCGGUUUGUUUGGUCUUAGAAAACUUCAGGCCUUCUGCCGUGUUUCGCUUUGAUAGCCUCCUUUGCCACUCAGCACGGAAUGUGUCUGUUGAUCAGCUCUGUUCUGGCUGCUGCAGGUGAGGCUCAAGUAGAGGCCAGCUCCCUUCCUUCUCAUCACAGCUUCCAGACAGGAUCACACCUCCCCUUCCCCUAGCCUCCCGUGUCCCCCGCAGGGUCCCAGAGGUGAGGGGGGAGUGGUCCUGGCUGCACUUGCCCGGUUUCCUGCCCUACAGUUGUGUUUCCUCCUCACUUCCCAUCCCUUCUCUCAUGCGUGCUCCUUUUCUCCCUUGUUUCUACUCCUAAAUCAAGAUGCACUUCUCUCGUCGCCUCUGAAGCAGUGCUUGACACCCUCUCCAGCUCUGCCCUCCUUCCAGCCAAGCGAAGUGCUAAGGUACCCGCACUGCUGUUCUCUUGUUUCCACAGAUGCUAUUGCCAAGCUCAGAAGAGGCAGUUUCUUGUGGGAGUGGAGGCUGGUGAUGGAAUCCCUCAGCGGGGCUGCCUCCCCAGAUUUCCCUCUUUAAUGUCUCCAGCAAACAGGUGGUCACUCUACUGGUAGUAAAUUCCUGGGUAUUUUUACCCAACACCCCAUAAACAAAAUGGCAAUGUUAUUGGACAUGUCAUACAACCAGGCCUAUUGAGUAAUGUCCGCAUUAAUCAAUUUGCCAAAGAAAGCAGGUUGUUAUCUCAGCUUGUUCGGAGAGAGGCUAGCUAUGGGAAGGAAGAAGAACUCAGGCAUCAGGCUUACAAGUACGCGGUCAAGAUUUAAAUGAUACCUAAUCGGUGACUUGGUGCGCCGUGAAGUGAAUCUUUCCCUACGCAAAACUGCACUGGCAGUACAGUUGAUUCUCUCGUAAUUGCUACAGGAACCUCGCUAGAGUGCCUUGGGGAGAGCCUGUUGCCCUGGGACUGAAGUAGCGAGGAGAUAGAACCCAAGAGAGAUGCAAGUUUUACCAGAUUUGUCUCAAUAUUAAGAAAUGUUGUACUACAAAGAAAUCCUUCGGCUGGAGGAUGACUGAUUCACUUUUUGAUCCAUCCGUUCAUUCAUAAAACACCUUGAGCAGCUCCUUCUCCCCAGGCAUUGUGCUGUAUGCUAGACACACCAAGAUUCACGAGGCAGGGUCUCUGCUCUCAGGGAGCUUACACACUGACGGGGGAUUCUCGGGCAUACCUCUCUAAGUAUGCGCAGGAUAGUGUGUAAAGUGUGAUAAUAAAGCUACACAUAAAAUACAGAGGGGAUCUAGGGGAAAUCUUUCCUGAAGGGCUUAUGUCUGUACCAGGUCUCAAGGGAUGAGCACAAGUUUUUCAAGCAGGCAAGAAAAGAAAUGUUUUCAAAGGCAGCCUGGUGUGAAAUUACAAUGGGAAACCACAAAUAAUUUGGUUUGGGUGUAACACAGGCAUCUCAGGAGAUGGGAGGAGCAGCGUCAAGAGCUAAGGCCAAAGACAUACACAGGAGCUAGAUGAUGAAGUGCACUGAAUCCGAGCGGGGACUUACUUUGAAGCUGCUUGGGAGCCGCUGAGAGUUUGAGCCGGAGAGUAACAAUUAAAUCUGGGGGCUUGGCUCCUUCACAUGCAGUCGGCAGCUCCUCAAUAGCUUUCCCUUUAUUUUGUAAUGUUUUAUUAUAUCAUGUCAUGCUUGCAAUACACGUAUGCUAUACAAUGGUAUGGUAUGGGGAUUUACCAUUGUAGUCUAAGGGCCUGGCGUCUGGUAUGCUCUUACUAAUACCUGAUGACUGAUAUAGUUUCUGACACAGUCUCUGACCCUUGCUUAGAUGUUGGUGGUACCAGCAGGUGGUACCGGCCACACCUCUGGGCUCCCUUUCCCUCCAGGCUCUUUCUAUCACCCACAAGCAACAAGUGACAGAAGAAUGGUUGGGAUGUCUCCAUGGGGGUGCAUUGCUGCUGCAUGACAGUGCCCAAUACAUAUUCCAGAAAUUAUCUUAAUCCCUCCAUCACCCAGAAUUUUCAUUCAACCAAUUGUGACAUCUCUGGGAAAGAACAUUUUCAAAAUGUUAGUGAGACGUGGAACUCACUCUGGAGUGAGUUUUCACUUUCAACUUUCUUGAACUAUGUCCCUUUUGCAAGGUGACAGACUAAAAUUUCUCAGUGCCCUUCACUUUCCCCACGCCAUGCCUGUAACAAAUAUCACCAAGGAGAGAUGGAUGGGCAGAUGGAGUGAAUGUUAGACAAAGAGACUGAAUUUAGAAUCUUCCAUUUAUUCAAUAAAAUUGAAAAUACGUUAUUUAAGAGAGGUGGAAAAAAACCCUCAAUGUUGUCUACAGAAACUUUCCUUAAACAGAUAGAAUUUCUCUUUUUGAUUUGUAAAAGUAACAACAACAACAAAAAAGUACAUUUUAUUUCAGAAGUAACAUGUGCCCAUGGUAAAACGUUCCAACAGCAAAGAGGCUCAUAAGGUAAAAAGUAAAACCUCUGACUCACUCUCCAGAGUUAACCACUGUAUAACCUUCCAGAAAUGUUGGACACACUACAAGGAGUAUGGGUAUCGCCCUCUCAUUUUUACACAGAUGGUAUUAAAUUACACACACUGGGGCUACCCUGGUAGUGCAGUGGUUAAGAAUCCGCCUGCCAAUGCAGGGGACACGGGUUCGAGCCCUGGUCCAGGAAGAUCCUGCAUGCUGUGGAGGAGCAGCUAAGCCCCAGCGACGCAACUACUGAGCCUGCACUCUAGAGCCCAUGCGCCACAACUACUGAGCCUGCGCUCUAGAGCCUGCGAGCCACAACUACUGAAGCCCGCAAGCCACAACUACUGAAGCCCGCAGGCCUAGAGCCCGUGCUCCGCAACGAGAAGCCACCGCAGUGAGAUGCCCGCGCACCGCAACAAAGAGUAGGCCCCACUUGCUGCAACUAGAGAAAGCCCACACACAGCAACGAAGACCCAACACAGCCAAAAAUAAAUAUAUAAAAAAUAAAUUAAAAAAUUUUUAAUCUAUUGGCUUUAAGGCAGUGGAAAUACUCUACGUGAUAUUAUAAUGAUGGAUAUAUGUCAUUAUACAUUUUCCAAACUUAUGUAAAGGUGAACCCCAUGGUAAAGUGUGGAUGUUGAGUGAUUAUGAUGUGUCAAUGUAGGUUCACCCCUGGUUAAAAAAAAGAACCGUUCCAAUGAGCAAUGUUGAUAAUGGUGGAGGCUAUGCAUGGGUGGACGCAGGGAUAUAUAGGAAAUCUCUGUACCUCCCUUUCAAGUUAUAAACCUAAAGCUGCUCUAGAAUAACAAAAUCUUUUUAAAAAUAAAAUAAAAGAAUUUUAAAACUAAUAGCACUAAUUUCCCUUCAUCACUCUACUCUCAUUCUUUUUUAAACAACUUUAUUGAAGUAUAGUUGAUUUACAAUGUUGUGUUAAUUUCUUCUGUAUAGCAGAGGGACUCAGUUAUACACAUACGUAUAUAUACAAUCUUUUUCAAAUUCUUUUCCAUUACGGCUUGUCACAGGACAUUGAAUAUAGUUCUCUGUACAGUAGGACCUUGUUGUUUAUCCAUCCUAUAUGUAAUUGUUUGCCUCUGCUAAUCCCAAACUCCCAAUUCUUACCUCCCCUCCCCACCUCCCCCUUGGCAAACACGUCUGUCCUCUAUUAUCUGUGAGUCUGUUUUUGUUUUGUAGAUAUGUUGAUUUGUAUCAUAUUUAUUUAUUUAUUUAUUUUUAAAGAUUUUUUUUUUUGAUACGGACCAUUUUAAAGUCUUUAUUGAACUUGUUAUAACAUUGCUUCUGUUCUAUGUUUUUUGGUUCCUUGGCCACGAGGCAUGUGGGAUCCCAUCUCCCCAACCAGGGAUUGAACCUGUACCCCCUGCAUUGGAAGGCAAAGUCCCAACCACUGCACUGCCAGAGAAGCCCCUGUAUAGUAUUUUAGAUUCCACAUAUAACUGAUAUCAUAUUGUAUUUGUCUUUCUCUUUCUGACUUACUUCGCUUAGUGUGAUAAUCUCUAGGUCCAUCCAUGUUGCUGCAAAUGGCAUUAUUUCAUUAUUUUUGAUGGCUGAGUAAUAUUCCAUUGUAUAUAUAUAUCACAUCUUCUUUAUCCAUUCAUCUGUUGAUGGACAUUUAGUUUGUUUCCAUGUCUUGGCUAUUGUAAAUAGUGCUGCUAUGAACAUAGAGGUGCAUGUAUCUUUUUGGAUUAUAGUUUUGUCUGGGGAUAUGCCCAGGAGUGGGAUUGCUGGAUCAUAUGGCAACUCUACUUUUAGUUUUUUGAAGAACCUCCAUACUGUUUUCCACAGCUGCUGCACCCAUUGACAUUUCCACCGACAGUGUAAGAGGGUUUCUUAUUCUCCACACCCUCUCCAGCAUUUGUUGUCUGAAGACUUCUUAAUGAUGGUCAUUCUGACUGGUGUAAGGUGGUACCUCAUUGUAGUUUAGAUUUGCAUUUCUCUAAUAAUUAGCAACAUCGAGCAUCCUUUCGUGUGCUUUUUGGCCAUCUGUCUUCUUUGGAGAAAUGUCUAUUUAGGUUUCCUGCCCAUUUUUCAAUUGGGCUGUUUUUUCUUUGUUGUUGAGUUGUAUGUGCUGUUUGUGUAUUUUGGAAAUUAAGCCCUUAUCAGUCACAUCAUUGGCAAAUAUUUUCUCCCAUUCUGUAGGUUGUCUUUUUGUUUUGUUUAUGGUUUCCUUUGCUGUGAAAAUGCUUGUAAGUUUGAUUAGGUACCAUUUGUUUAUUUUUGUUUUUAUUUCUAUUGCCUUGGGAGACUGACCUAAGAAAACAUUGGUACGAUUUAUGUCAGAGAAUGUUUUGCCUCUAUUCUCAUUCUUAUAUUUCCAGAUGAUCUAUACUCAACUACCAAUAAAAAAUGUAAUUGUAUGCUCUGUCUGCAUACAGUGACAAUGGCUGGUAAGAUGAUUUAAUGGCUUAAUAGCCACUAUAAUUUUAUUGUUUGCAUUUCCAGCAUUGCAGUAUGAACAACAUUGAUUCAUAUCUAUUUUACUGAUUUGUUCAUAUGUAUUAUAAUUCCUUCUUGUGCCUCCCCCAAGUAAACUUUUGACUAAGGACUA
Molecule: RNA transcript, 6880 nt
Organism: Orcinus orca (killer whale)
Lineage: Eukaryota; Metazoa; Chordata; Mammalia; Artiodactyla; Delphinidae
Gene: GPR19
Gene name: G protein-coupled receptor 19
Exons: 5
Source: RefSeq, a predicted model, not a curated record